RNAcentral lists this transfer RNA (87 nucleotides) under Gemmata sp. RNAcentral describes it as "tRNA-Ser". It matches the Rfam family "tRNA". From Rfam's summary of the family: Transfer RNA (tRNA) molecules are approximately 80 nucleotides in length. Lineage: Bacteria; Pseudomonadati; Planctomycetota; Planctomycetia; Gemmatales; Gemmataceae. RNAcentral also lists the same sequence under 4 other names. The record is from RNAcentral.
GGAGAGGUGCCGGAGUGGUUGAUCGGGACGGUCUCGAAAACCGUUGUACCCGCAAGGGUACCGAGGGUUCGAAUCCCUCCCUCUCCG